GGCUGUAGCGGCAGAGGAGGGACAUUACUGAGUUACCGCUCUAUAACCCUUUGUGAACAUACCUACAACUGUUGCUUCGGCGGGUAGGCCGUCCCCUGAAAAGGACGCCUCCCGGCCCGGACCGGACCCCCCGUGGGGCCGGACUCGGCGCCCGCCGGAGGAUAACCAAACGCUAUUUUAACGACGUUUCUUCUGAGUGGCAUAAGCAAAAUAAUCAAAACUUUUAACAACGGAUCUCUUGGUUCUGGCAUCGAUGAAGAACGCAGCGAAAUGCGAUAAGUAAUGUGAAUUGCAGAAUUCAGUGAAUCAUCGAAUCUUUGAACGCACAUUGCGCCCGCCAGCAUUCUGGCGGGCAUGCCUGUUCGAGCGUCAUUUCAACCCUCAAGCUCUGCUUGGUGUUGGGGCUCUACGGUCGACGUAGGCCCUCAAAGGUAGUGGCGGACCCUCCCGGAGCCUCCUUUGCGUAGUAACAUUUCGUCUCGCACUGGGAUCCGGAGGGACUCUUGCCGUAAAACCCCCCAAUUUUUCAAGGUUGACCUCGGAUCAGGUAGGAAUACCCGCUGAACUUAAGCAUAUCAAUAUGGUGACGAAA
Molecule: ribosomal RNA, 592 nt
Filed under: Colletotrichum lindemuthianum
Lineage: Eukaryota; Fungi; Ascomycota; Sordariomycetes; Glomerellales; Glomerellaceae
Description: eukaryotic LSU rRNA
Rfam family: 5.8S ribosomal RNA (bases 219-372)
Source: RNAcentral